RNAcentral lists this non-coding RNA (223 nucleotides) under Fictibacillus phosphorivorans. Its description in RNAcentral is "T-box sequence". It matches the Rfam family "T-box leader". From Rfam's summary of the family: Uncharged tRNA acts as the effector for transcription antitermination of genes in the T-box leader family. T-boxes are found upstream of many aminoacyl-tRNA synthetase genes and some amino acid biosynthetic genes usually in Gram-positive bacteria. The record is from RNAcentral. Lineage: Bacteria; Bacillati; Bacillota; Bacilli; Caryophanales; Fictibacillaceae.
AUUGUCGCGUAGACAGGGAAUAGUACAACACAACACCUUUUAGAGAGAGGAUUCAUCUGCUGAAAGAAUCCUUAAGGAUAGUUAGUUGGAAGUCGCCCUUGAGCAUCUUCUCUGAAACAAGAAGUAGGAGAAGACGGUCCAUCCGUUAUUCAUGAGUGUACAGCAAGUUUAUUUAGACUUGCCGUAAAUAAAGGUGGUACCGCGGAGUCCUUUCGUCCUUUUU